This 253-nucleotide ribosomal RNA is filed under the name uncultured bacterium. RNAcentral's name for it is "partial 16S ribosomal RNA". It matches the Rfam family "Bacterial small subunit ribosomal RNA", at positions 524 to 776 of the family's 1533-position model. The record is from RNAcentral.
UACGUAGGGGGCAAGCGUUGUCCGGAAUCAUUGGGCGUAAAGAGCGUGUAGGUGGCUCGGUAAGUCCGCUGUGAAAGUCCAGGGCUCAACCCUGGAAAGCCGGUGGAAACUGUCGAGCUCGAGUCCGGAAGAGGCGAGUGGAAUUCCUGGUGUAGCGGUGAAAUGCGCAGAUAUCAGGAGGAACACCAAUGACGAAGGCAGCUCGCUGGGACGGUACUGACACUGAGACGCGAAAGCGUGGGGAGCAAACAGG